UAGAGUUUGAUUCCCAUGGCUCAGGACGAACGCUGGCGGCGUGCCUAAUACAUGCAAGUCGAGCGAAUCGAUGGGAGCUUGCUCCCUGAGAUUAGCGGCGGACGGGUGAGUAACACGUGGGCAACCUGCCUAUAAGACUGGGAUAACUUCGGGAAACCGGAGCUAAUACCGGAUACGUUCUUUUCUCGCAUGAGAGAAGAUGGAAAGACGGUUUACGCUGUCACUUAUAGAUGGGCCCGCGGCGCAUUAGCUAGUUGGUGAGGUAAUGGCUCACCAAGGCGACGAUGCGUAGCCGACCUGAGAGGGUGAUCGGCCACACUGGGACUGAGACACGGCCCAGACUCCUACGGGAGGCAGCAGUAGGGAAUCUUCCGCAAUGGACGAAAGUCUGACGGAGCAACGCCGCGUGAACGAAGAAGGCCUUCGGGUCGUAAAGUUCUGUUGUUAGGGAAGAACAAGUACCAGAGUAACUGCUGGUACCU
RNAcentral lists this ribosomal RNA (482 nucleotides) under Bacillus sp. HSS-7010. RNAcentral's name for it is "bacterial SSU rRNA". It matches the Rfam family "Bacterial small subunit ribosomal RNA", at positions 1 to 480 of the family's 1533-position model. The record is from RNAcentral. Lineage: Bacteria; Bacillati; Bacillota; Bacilli; Caryophanales; Bacillaceae.